GACGAACGCUGGCGGCGUGCUUAACACAUGCAAGUCGAACGGAAAGGCCCUGCUUUUGUGGGGUGCUCGAGUGGCGAACGGGUGAGUAACACGUGAGUAACCUGCCCUUGACUUUGGGAUAACUUCAGGAAACUGGGGCUAAUACCGGAUAGGAGCUCCUGCUGCAUGGUGGGGGUUGGAAAGUUUCGGCGGUUGGGGAUGGACUCGCGGCUUAUCAGCUUGUUGGUGGGGUAGUGGCUUACCAAGGCUUUGACGGGUAGCCGGCCUGAGAGGGUGACCGGCCACAUUGGGACUGAGAUACGGCGCAGACGCCUACGGGACGCAGCAGUGGAGAAUAUUGCACAAUGGGCGGAAGCCUGAUGCAGCAACGCUGCGUGCGGGAUGACGGCCUUCGGGUUGUAAACCGCUUUCGCAUGUGACGAAGCGUGAGUGACGGUAAUGGGUAAAGAAGCACCGGCUAACUACGUG
This 468-nucleotide ribosomal RNA is filed under the name uncultured bacterium. Its description in RNAcentral is "partial 16S ribosomal RNA". It matches the Rfam family "Bacterial small subunit ribosomal RNA", at positions 28 to 507 of the family's 1533-position model. The record is from RNAcentral.